CGAAGCCUACGGGACGCAGCAGUGGGGAAUAUUGCACAAUGGGGGGAACCCUGAUGCAGCGACGCCGCGUGGGCGAUGGAGUAUUUCGGUAUGUAAAGCCCUAUCGGCAGGGAAGAAGCUGACAGUACCUGACUAAGAAGCCCCGGCUAACUACGUGCCAGCAGCCGCGGUAAUACGUAGGGGGCAAGCGUUAUCCGGAUUCACUGGGCGUAAAGGGAGCGCAGGCGGCAUGGCAAGCCUGGUGUGAAAACCCGGGGCCCAACCCCGGGAGUGCAUUGGGGACUGCCGCGCUA
RNAcentral lists this ribosomal RNA (293 nucleotides) under uncultured bacterium. Its description in RNAcentral is "partial 16S ribosomal RNA". It matches the Rfam family "Bacterial small subunit ribosomal RNA", at positions 333 to 643 of the family's 1533-position model. The record is from RNAcentral.